GAGUUUGAUCCUGGCUCAGAUUGAACGCUGGCGGCAUGCCUAACACAUGCAAGUCGAACGGCAGCGCGGGGCGAACCCUACGGCGGCGAGUGGCGGACGGGUGGAGGAACGAACAUAGGAAGUACUACCUCCAACGUAGGGGGAGUAACGUAAGGAAACGUUAACGCUAAUACCGCAUACGACCGAGAGGGGAAAGACGGCGGACCGCAAGCGUCGCGCGGUGAGAUGAGCCUAUGUCCGAUUAGCUAGUUGGCGGGUAAGAGCCCACCAAGGCGACGAUCGGUAGCUGGUCUGAGAGGAUGAUCAGCCACACUGGGACUGAGACACGGCCCAGACUCCUACGGGAGGCAGCAGUGGGGAAUAUUGGACAAUGGGCGCAAGCCUGAUCCAGCAAUGCCGCGUGGGUGAA
Molecule: ribosomal RNA, 409 nt
Filed under: uncultured Gammaproteobacteria bacterium
Lineage: Bacteria; Pseudomonadati; Pseudomonadota; Gammaproteobacteria
Description: bacterial SSU rRNA
Rfam family: Bacterial small subunit ribosomal RNA
Source: RNAcentral